CAACAACCAGGGUUUAAGGCCAAUCCCAUAAAUCUGUUCUCAGUUCGGAUCGCAGUCUGCAACUCGACUGCGUGAAGCUGGAAUCGCUAGUAAUCGCGGAUCAGCAUGCCGCGGUGAAUACGUUCCCGGGCCUUGUACACACCGCCCGUCACACCACGAGAGUUUGCAACACCCGAAGUCGGUGAGGUAACCUUUAUGGAGCCAGCCGCCGAAGGUGGGGCAGAUGAUUGGGGUGAAGUCGUAACAAGGAUAGCCGUAA
RNAcentral lists this ribosomal RNA (259 nucleotides) under Bacillus pumilus. RNAcentral describes it as "partial 16S ribosomal RNA". It matches the Rfam family "Bacterial small subunit ribosomal RNA", at positions 1250 to 1505 of the family's 1533-position model. Lineage: Bacteria; Bacillati; Bacillota; Bacilli; Caryophanales; Bacillaceae. The record is from RNAcentral.